This 460-nucleotide ribosomal RNA is filed under the name uncultured bacterium. RNAcentral's name for it is "partial 16S ribosomal RNA". It matches the Rfam family "Bacterial small subunit ribosomal RNA", at positions 338 to 795 of the family's 1533-position model. The record is from RNAcentral.
CCUACGGGAGGCAGCAGUGAGGAAUAUUGGUCAAUGGACGAGAGUCUGAACCAGCCAAGUAGCGUGAAGGAUGACUGCCCUCUGGGUUGUAAACUUCUUUUAUAUGGGAAUAAAACGUUCGACGUGUGGGAUUUGGUAUGUACCAUAUGCAUAAGGAUCGGCUAACUCCGUGCCAGCAGCCGCGGUAAUACGGAGGAUCCGAGCGUUAUCCGGAUUUAUUGGGUUUAAAGGGAGCGUAGGUGGAUUGUUAAGUCAGUUGUGAAAGUCUGCGGCUCAACCGUAAAAUUGCAGUUGAAACUGGCAGUCUUGAGUACAGUAGAGGUGGGCAGAAUUCGUGGUGUAGCGGUGAAAUGCUUAGAUAUCACGAAGAACUCCGAUUGCGAAGGCAGUUCACUGGACUGCAACUGACACUGAGGCUCGAAAGUGUGGGUAUCAAACAGGAUUAGAUACCCUAGUAGUC